GCAUUGGUGGUUGAAUGGUAGAAUUCUUGGCUCCCAUGCAAGAGACCCUGGUUUGAUUCCCAGCCAACACA
RNAcentral lists this transfer RNA (71 nucleotides) under Loxodonta africana (African savanna elephant). It matches the Rfam family "tRNA". From Rfam's summary of the family: Transfer RNA (tRNA) molecules are approximately 80 nucleotides in length. Their secondary structure includes four short double-helical elements and three loops (D, anti-codon, and T loops). The record is from Rfam by way of RNAcentral. Lineage: Eukaryota; Metazoa; Chordata; Mammalia; Proboscidea; Elephantidae.